AGUGAACGCUGGCAGUAGGCCUAACACAUGCAAGUCGAACGGCAGCACAGUAAGAGCUUGCUCUUACGGGUGGCGAGUGGCGGACGGGUGAGGAAUACAUCGGAAUCUACUUUUUCGUGGGGGAUAACGUAGGGAAACUUACGCUAAUACCGCAUACGACCUACGGGUGAAAGCAGGGGAUCUUCGGACCUUGCGCGAUUGAAUGAGCCGAUGUCGGAUUAGCUAGUUGGCGGGGUAAAGGCCCACCAAGGCGACGAUCCGUAGCUGGUCUGAGAGGAUGAUCAGCCACACUGGAACUGAGGCACGGUCCAGACUCCUACGGGAGGCAGCAGUGGGGAAUAUUGGACAAUGGGCGCAAGCCUGAUCCAGCCAUACCGCGUGGGUGAAGAAGGCCUUCGGGUUGUAAAGCCCUUUUGUUGGGAAAGAAAAGCAGCAGGUUAAUACCCCGCUGUUCUGACGGUACCCAAAGAAUAAGCACCGGCUAACUUCGU
RNAcentral lists this ribosomal RNA (491 nucleotides) under uncultured bacterium. RNAcentral's name for it is "partial 16S ribosomal RNA". It matches the Rfam family "Bacterial small subunit ribosomal RNA", at positions 29 to 506 of the family's 1533-position model. The record is from RNAcentral.